AUUGAACGCUGGCGGAAUGCUUUACACAUGCAAGUCGAACGGCAGCACGGACUUCGGUCUGGUGGCGAGUGGCGAACGGGUGAGUAAUGUAUCGGAACGUGCCCAGUCGUGGGGGAUAACGUAGUGAAAAUUACGCUAAUACCGCAUACGAUCUAUGGAUGAAAGCGGGGGAUCGCAAGACCUCGCGCGAUUGGAGCGGCCGAUAUCAGAUUAGGUAGUUGGUGGGGUAAAGGCCCACCAAGCCAACGAUCUGUAGCUGGUCUGAGAGGACGACCAGCUACACUGGAACUGAGACACGGUCAAGACUCCUACGGGAGGCAGCAGUGGGGAAUUUUGGACAAUGGGCGAAAGGCUGAUCCAGCCAUUCCGCGGGCAGGAUGAAGGCCCUCGGGUUGUAAACUGCUUUUGUACAGAACGAAAAGGUUUCUACUAAUACUAGGAGCUCAUGACGGUACUGUAAGAAUAAGCACCGGCUAACUACGUGCCAGCCGCCGCGGUAA
Molecule: ribosomal RNA, 500 nt
Filed under: uncultured bacterium
Lineage: Bacteria
Description: partial 16S ribosomal RNA
Rfam family: Bacterial small subunit ribosomal RNA
Source: RNAcentral